Molecule: small RNA, 160 nt
Filed under: Paenibacillus sp.
Lineage: Bacteria; Bacillati; Bacillota; Bacilli; Caryophanales; Paenibacillaceae
Also listed under: 1 other name
Description: c-di-AMP sequence
Rfam family: c-di-AMP riboswitch aptamer (ydaO/yuaA leader)
About the family: This family represents a conserved RNA structure found upstream of the ydaO and yuaA genes in Bacillus subtilis and related genes in other bacteria. The ydaO/yuaA element is thought to act as a genetic "off" switch for the ydaO and yuaA genes in its native state.
Source: RNAcentral
GUUGAAUAUGCGCUGAAUUUUCCGCAGGGAAAUCGGGGGAACCAAACUCGGCUGAAAGGCCGACGGGGUGAAUCGGAAGCAGGCCGUAAAGGCUGUAACCGUAGGGCUUUCCACAGUCCGAAUCCGCCAGCUAACCUCGUAAGCAAAGGUGGGAUAAUGA